CGGGGUGCAGCAGGCGCGAAAACUUUGCAAUACACGAAAGUGUGACAGGGUCAUCCCGAGUGCCGACCGCUGAGGUUGGCUUUUACCCAGUCUAGAAAGCUGGGGGAAUAAGGAGAGGGCAAGUCUGGUGUCAGCCGCCGCGGUAAUACCAGCUCUCCGAGUGGUGUGGACGUUUAUUGGGCCUAAAGCAUCCGUAGCUGGCUGAACAAGUCCCCUGUUAAACCCACCGAUUUAAUCGUUGGUCUGCGGGGGAUACUGCUCGGCUAGGGGACGAGAGAGGCAGACGGUAUUCCCGGGGUAGGGGUGAAAUCCUAUAAUCCCGAGAAGACCACCAGUGGCGAAGGCUGUCUGCUAGAACGCGCCCGACGGUGAGGGAUGAAAGCUGGGGGAGCGAACCGGAUUAGAUACCCGGGUAGUCCCAGCUGUAAACGAUGCAGACUAGGUGUUUGGACGGCCACGUGCCGUUCUAGUGCCGCAGGGAAGCUGUUAAGUCUGCCGCCUGGGGAGUACGAUCGCAAGAUUGAAACUUAAAGGAAUUGGCGGGGGAGCACAAGGGCGAAUCGC
This 564-nucleotide ribosomal RNA is filed under the name uncultured archaeon. RNAcentral describes it as "bacterial SSU rRNA". It matches the Rfam family "Archaeal small subunit ribosomal RNA", at positions 326 to 896 of the family's 1478-position model. The record is from RNAcentral.